This 396-nucleotide ribosomal RNA is filed under the name uncultured bacterium. RNAcentral's name for it is "bacterial SSU rRNA". It matches the Rfam family "Bacterial small subunit ribosomal RNA", at positions 956 to 1353 of the family's 1533-position model. The record is from RNAcentral.
UAAACGGGAAGAACCUUACCAGGUCUUGACAUCUUCUGAUAGCCUAAGAGAUUAGGUGUUCCCUCGGGGACAGAAUGACAGGUGGUGUAUGGUUGUCGUCAGACUCGUGUCGUGAGAUGUUGGGUUAAGUCCCGCAACGAGCGCAACCCUUAUUGUCAGUUGCCAGCAUUAAGUUGGGCACUCUGGCAAGACUGCCGGUGACAAACCGGAGGAAGGUGGGGAUGACGUCAAAUCAUCAUGCCCCUUAUGACCUGGGCUACACACGUGCUACAAUGGACGAUACAACGAGUCGCUAGACCGCGAGGUUAAGCUAAUCUCUGAAAGUCGUUCUCAGUUCGGAUUGCAGGCUGCAACUCGCCUGCAUGAAGUCGGAAUCGCUAGUAAUCGCGGAUCAGC